GGCGGAAUACAUUUACAAUGCACGAAAGUAGUGAUAAUGCGAGCCAAAGUAGCCAUUCGUUUUAGAAUGGCUUUUCUUCCGUGUAAAAACCGGGAGGAAUAAGGACUGGGAAAGACUGGUGCCAGCCGCCGCGGUAAUACCAGCAGUUCAAGUCGCAUCCACUAUUAUUGGGUCUAAAACAUCCGUAGCUUGUUUUGUAAGUCUCUUGUGAAAUCCUCGGUCUUAAGCCGAGGGCUUGCAGGAGAUACCUGCAAAGCUAGAGAUCGGUAGACGUAAGGAGUACGCGAGAGGUAACGGUUAAAUGUGUUAAUCUUUCGUGGACUAACAAUGAGCGAAGGCACCUUACGAGGACGAAUCUGACAGUCA
This 366-nucleotide ribosomal RNA is filed under the name uncultured euryarchaeote. RNAcentral's name for it is "bacterial SSU rRNA". It matches the Rfam family "Archaeal small subunit ribosomal RNA", at positions 338 to 700 of the family's 1478-position model. Lineage: Archaea; Methanobacteriati; Methanobacteriota. The record is from RNAcentral.